RNAcentral lists this ribosomal RNA (424 nucleotides) under uncultured bacterium. Its description in RNAcentral is "partial 16S ribosomal RNA". It matches the Rfam family "Bacterial small subunit ribosomal RNA", at positions 360 to 776 of the family's 1533-position model. The record is from RNAcentral.
AACAUUUUACAAUGGGGGAAACCCUGAUCCAGCGAUCACUCGUGUAUGAUGAAGGCCUACUGGUUNUAAAGUACUUUUGGCAGAGANGAAUAGGUAUCUCCUAAUACGAGUUACUGCUCACGGAAUCUGCAGAAUAAGCAACUGCUAACUACGUGCCAGCAGCCGCGGUACUAAGUAGGGUGCAAGCGUUAAUCGGAAUUACCGGGCGUAAAGCGUGUGUAGGCGGUUCGGAAAGAAAGAUGUGAAAUCCGAGGGCUCAACCUUGGAGCUGCAUUGUUAACUACCGAGCUAGAGUACGUCAGAGGGUAGUACAAUUCCCGGUGUAGCAGUGAAAUGCGUAGAUAUGUGAAGGAAUACCGAUGGCGAAGGCAGCCCCCUGGGAUAAUAAUGACGCUCAGACACGAAAGCGUGGGGAGCAAACAGG